UAUUAAUAUUAUCAGAUUAUUACAUGGCAUUUUUCAUAUCGCAUGUAUUAUCAGCUCUAUAGGUUUAAUAUCAGCCCAAGAGCCGCAUGGCUCGAGGGCUGAUGUUGACCGAGGGCUGAUAAUACAUGCGAUAUGAAAAAUGACAUGUUAUGAUCUUUUUAUCAUAUGCUUCAACAAUGGAGAAAAAUAACAGAUUCAUAUAUUGAUCCUUUUACGUGGUUCCCAAAAAGAAGUUCAAAGACUGAAAGUUCACGGACGUUAGACCCCAAAUUUAGUACAUUCGAUAUGAAAUUUUUC
This 297-nucleotide long non-coding RNA is filed under the name Mytilus galloprovincialis (Mediterranean mussel). The record is from RNAcentral. Lineage: Eukaryota; Metazoa; Mollusca; Bivalvia; Mytilida; Mytilidae.